GCAAGUCGAGGGGUAACAUUGGAGCUUGCUUCAGAUGACGACCGGCGCACGGGUGCGUAACGCGUAUAGAACCUACCUUUUACAAAGGGAUAGCCUUUAGAAAUGAAGAUUAAUACCUUAUAGUAUUUUAGAUUAGCAUUAAUUUAAAAUUAAAGAUUUAUCGGUAAAAGAUGGCUAUGCGUUCUAUUAGCUAGAUGGAGUGGUAACGGCACCCCAUGGCUACGAUCAAUAGCCGACCUGAGAGGGUGAUC
Molecule: ribosomal RNA, 251 nt
Filed under: uncultured bacterium
Lineage: Bacteria
Description: partial 16S ribosomal RNA
Rfam family: Bacterial small subunit ribosomal RNA
Source: RNAcentral